CGAACGCUGGCGGCGUGCUUAACACAUGCAAGUCGAACGCGAAAGUUUUCUUCGGAAAGCGAGUAGAGUGGCGCACGGGUGAGUAACGCGUAAAUAAUCUACCCCUGCAUUUGGGAUAACCCACCGAAAGGUGAGCUAAUACCGGAUACGUUCUUUAGAUUGCGAGAUUUAGAGAAGAAAGGUGGCCUCUGAUAUAAGCUACUGUGCGGGGAGGAGUUUGCGUACCAUUAGCUAGUUGGUAGGGUAAUGGCCUACCAAGGCGACGAUGGUUAGCGGGUCUGAGAGGAUGAUCCGCCACACUGGAACUGGAACACGGACCAGACUCCUACGGGAGGCAGCAGUGAGGAAUAUUGCGCAAUGGGGGCAACCCUGACGCAGCGACGCCGCGUGGAUGAUGAAGGCCUUCGGGUCGUAAAAUCCUGUCAGAUGGAAAGAAGUGCUAUAUGACUAAUAUUUGUAUAGUUUGACGGUACCAUCAAAGGAAGCACCGGCUAACUCC
This 499-nucleotide ribosomal RNA is filed under the name uncultured bacterium. RNAcentral's name for it is "bacterial SSU rRNA". It matches the Rfam family "Bacterial small subunit ribosomal RNA", at positions 30 to 504 of the family's 1533-position model. The record is from RNAcentral.